AUUGAGCGCUGGCGGCAGGCUUAACACAUGCAAGUCGAGCGGGGUGAUGGUGCUUGCACUAUCACUUAGCGGCGGACGGGUGAGUAAUGCCUAGGAAUCUGCCUAUUAGUGGGGGACAACAUCACGAAAGGGAUGCUAAUACCGCAUACGUCCUACGGGAGAAAGCAGGGGAUCACUUGUGACCUUGCGCUAAUAGAUGAGCCUAAGUCGGAUUAGCUAGUUGGUGGGGUAAAGGCCUACCAAGGAGACGAUCUGUAGCGGGUCUGAGGGGAUGAUCCGCCACACUGGGACUGAGACACGGCCCAGACUCCUACGGGAGGCAGCAGUGGGGAAUAUUGGACAAUGGGGGGAACCCUGAUCCAGCCAUGCCGCGUGUGUGAAGAAGGCCUUAUGGUUGUAAAGCACUUUAAGCGAGGAGGAGGCUCUUUUGGUUAAUACCCAAGAUGAGUGGACGUUACUCGCAGAAUAAGCACCGGCUAACUCUGUGCCAGCCGCCGCCGUAA
RNAcentral lists this ribosomal RNA (503 nucleotides) under uncultured bacterium. RNAcentral's name for it is "partial 16S ribosomal RNA". It matches the Rfam family "Bacterial small subunit ribosomal RNA", at positions 30 to 523 of the family's 1533-position model. The record is from RNAcentral.